CAGCAGCCGCGGUAGUACGUAGGUGGCAAGCGUUGUCCGGAAUUAUUGGGCGUAAAGGGCUCGCAGGCGGUUUCUUAAGUCUGAUGUGAAAGCCCCCGGCUCAACCGGGGAGGGUCAUUGGAAACUGGGAAACUUGAGUGCAGAAGAGGAGAGUGGAAUUCCACGUGUAGCGGUGAAAUGCGUAGAGAUGUGGAGGAACACCAGUGGCGAAGGCGACUCUCUGGUCUGUAACUGACGCUGAGGAGCGAAAGCGUGGGGAGCGAACAGGAUUAGAUACCCCCGUAGUCCCUGUCUCUUAUAC
This 301-nucleotide ribosomal RNA is filed under the name uncultured bacterium. RNAcentral describes it as "partial 16S ribosomal RNA". It matches the Rfam family "Bacterial small subunit ribosomal RNA", at positions 509 to 807 of the family's 1533-position model. The record is from RNAcentral.